RNAcentral lists this long non-coding RNA (428 nucleotides) under Sorghum bicolor (sorghum). RNAcentral describes it as "long non-coding RNA (SBIC_LNC009898)". The record is from RNAcentral. Lineage: Eukaryota; Viridiplantae; Streptophyta; Magnoliopsida; Poales; Poaceae.
UUGUUCAUAUUGCGCGGCAGCUCAUUCAUAAGAUUGCGUUGUUCAGUGAUGAACGCUAUAAGUUCACCCUUGGACACACAAUCAUUGAAACCCGUUGGAGAUCCUGCCAUGGUUGGAAAAUAGGGAAAAAUAACAACAACGUACUAUCCCUAUCAACUAAAAGGAAUCAAGUGGUGGUGGUGAAAGUGGAAUACAAAAUCAGAAGCGGCUUACCACUGUCUUACAACUGUUCUUACCAAAGCCAAACAGGAGCAAAACUAAAUUAGGAAAACAAUAUGUUGUUGAGCGUGGGUAAUAGUUGCAAGAUGAACCUAUGCUGAUAUAAGUAUACAUAGAGCUUUAGAAACGCACGUUAUGAACAACAAGGAUUAGCAAUUAAUGAAUACAGAGUUAGCUAAGUUCAAUAAGUGUCCAGAGGACAAAUCAUA